Molecule: long non-coding RNA, 1235 nt
Organism: Clupea harengus (Atlantic herring)
Lineage: Eukaryota; Metazoa; Chordata; Actinopteri; Clupeiformes; Clupeidae
Source: Ensembl
UUUCACUCUUCUGUGUUGCAUCUGUAUUUGUUUAUCAGUCUCUUUUUUUAUUUACUAUUGGAAUUAUUGCAGUGUUUCCAAGUGAGGGACACAGUGCCACCUCACCGGCUAAGGUGUAGUUGGCGUUUAGAUGUUUAUCUGACGUUUGGCCACAGAAUGACCGGGUUGAGAUUUCUGGCCUUUGACUUGGAUUGAGGGUUGGAUGGGAAGCCAACUCUCCUUGCAGGAGAGAAGAACUUCUGUUGGGUGCACCGCGUUUUAGAAUUUAGAGAAGGUCAUCGUUCAUCUCAGCCACACUUAUUUUUAACAGUGUCCUGGCAAACUAACAGUGUUAGGCCUUUUCCCCUGUAUGAAAUAUCAUCUUUAUUUGUCGGCUAUUUUCUCUUAUCUUCUCCUUGUGUUGUUUUUGCCAUGUCUUUUUCUCAUAGUGUUGAAGAUGUGCUAACCUCAGAAUAGUGUUUUUGCCAUCAUCAGUUUGUGCCAUGUGUUGAAGUGACUAGGUACACUGUUAAGAGGCUUCACCUUAAAGUUUCACUAAGUGCUUUUUACUUUCAGUUACGGGGGCGAGUGCAGAAUGGCAGCCAUUCUGUUGCACAGCUCUAGCCAGUUUCUGGUUCGCUAUCGGCAGAAUAAGAUUUGACACAAAGCAACUGGAUAGUUGUCUGAACCCUUCGAAACAAAAUGGCUGCCAGAUCAGUGACUCUGUUAAUAUUAUGAAAACUUGAGUUUAACUUUCUGCACUAUUGGACAGCACUUGUUAAGGAGGACUGUUAAUUAUUACACUGUUUUGAUACGUGUGACCUGCCUGUCCUGGUGUUCAUGUAGUGAUUUAUAAAGGAUUAUAACCUGUUCAUUUAGCAUUAACUGUUGUCAUCACCAUCAAAGGCCACCUGGACCACAACUGGGUCUGGGCAGGAUUUGGGACUCAUCUGGCCUUCAGUCCGCGCUGAUCUGGGCAAGCUCUCUAUUUGCGUAUUGUACAGACAUGCCUUACCCUCGCCCAUUUUGAAAUAUGACUUUUUUUUAAUGUGUCAUUAAAAUUGUAACAGGAGAACAAAAAAUCGAACCCACGUUGAAACGAUAAACAGCGGGCUCUUUUGAAUAUCUUUGUAUGAAUUAUGACUUAAAUGGACUUCAGACAUCUCUUAUAGACGGCAUGUUUUCAGCAGUUUUGUGAUAUUUAUAACUUUGUGGCAUUCUUUAACUAAUGAAGUGCAAAUAAAGAUGAAAUAUAU